CCGCCAUGGUACCCUGGACUGUAUGCUCUGCCAUGGCCUCCUGGACUGCCUGAUCCGCACUGGAAGUAUUCCCCGUGUCCCAGUCCUGCACCAGCCUCCAGGCCUAUGGUAAUGGGUGAUGUCAGACUUCUGUGUUUUGCUCCCCAUGUGUUUCCAUGCCCUUAUUUGGCUCUUCCUGUUCUAAUUAUGUUUGUUUCAUUAGUUCCAGGUGUGUCUCAUCAUCCGAUCCUUUAGUCCUGUGUAUUUUAUAGUGAGCCCUGUUCUAAGGCUGGUCGUCCAGUAUUGUAAAUGUCUGUGGAUGUCAACCUCUCCUGCUACGUGUGUUUUUCCUGGUUCCCUUAAAGACAUUAAAAUCUCCUGUGUUGAUGUACUCCUCGUUCCUCGCUCCCGCACCAUAGUGAAAUUUGACAGUAGGAGGAAAUGCAAAAUAUAUUGUUUGAAGUCAAAGGCCACACAUGGAAUCAAACUAUUUGGUAUUUUGGCUCAAACUGAUGUAAAUCAGUAGAUAUUUACACCAACGAGGACAGUGUGUGAGGUGUGACUCAAGCUUUAAAAACUGAAUAAAGGGAAAAUGAAAAUUUUAAAAAGAGGCCAACAUAAGGCUAUAUUUAAAUCAGAGUAAAUGAGAAGGGGACAUACUUUCACAGCUAACCGUUGUAACUGUGUAAAAUGGCUUAUUGCUUUUAGAAACCAUCUGUUUCUCUUUUACUUUGUCACAUUUCUAAAACACAAGGCUUUAAAUGGGUUUAGGCCAGAUAAUGACGGAUUCAUUUUUUUUUUUUUUGCCGUAUGGAAACUUUUUUGAGUCACACCUUUAAAAUAAUGAAAAUACAGUGAGCAAAAUGAAAAUAACUUGCAAAACCAUUAUUUUAUAUUCACCCCAGACUUGUUUUCUGAAGUCAUGACGUGUCUUCUCAUGAGUCAUCUGAAAACUCAAAGCUUCCUACACGGUCCUCUCAUAAUCAGGAAGCGAAUGUGCGCUGAGGAACAACAUGUGCAGAGCGAGAGAGAAAUGAAAUGACUGGCCUUGCCAUGGACACACGAGAGGCUCUUGUCCCAGCACUUGAAGGGCCGGGUGGGCUGUGAAUUGUGGUUAAGGGGAAAUGGUGACCGGGCAGGAUACAAUCAAGAAAAUAACAGACUUAAAGAGGGUUUGAUGCUGAAGGACACAGUCAAAGCAUUAGUGGAGCUUGACGCAUGUUAUUUAUACGCUGCUCCGUAUUGUUUUUAUUAGAGUAUGGCAUGUGACUGAGACAUCUUCAGGUCGUCCUCAUGGAAAAUCACAUACACUGUAAAAUUAGUUUUUGGCUUUUGGAAUACAUUUUACAAGAAAAUCCACCUUUUCCCUGUGUCCCAU
This is a long non-coding RNA of Cyprinus carpio carpio, 1357 nucleotides long. The record is from Ensembl. NCBI's taxonomy places the organism in Eukaryota, Metazoa, Chordata, Actinopteri, Cypriniformes, Cyprinidae.